UUUAAAUUUAUUAUUUUUUCAAAAUCCCUCUCGUAAAAGUUGAAGCACAUUUAUAUCGUGGCCUAACCUAAAAAGGAUUCCACAUCCUAAUACGCCAUAUAUGGCUAUGAUUUUAUUAUAUGUGUGGCUGUGAAUAUUAUUGAUCGGCUAAAGAGGAUUCAACUGUACGCUGCCCCGUCAUUAACGCUAUGUCGUUUAGCGGUCAUAUUUUCCAAUUGAUAGAUAUGCCGAUUUGUGAAAACGAAAAGAGACUCCACAGCAAUCAAAUAUAGACUUUUAAAGAUACUCUCUUUUCUGUUAACCUAAUAUAUUUCAAAAA
Molecule: unclassified non-coding RNA, 319 nt
Filed under: Hevea brasiliensis (rubber tree)
Lineage: Eukaryota; Viridiplantae; Streptophyta; Magnoliopsida; Malpighiales; Euphorbiaceae
Source: RNAcentral